GGUGGCACGAUGGGUUAGUGCAUCUGUCUGGGAGUCUGAAGGGUGAUGGUUCAAGCCCACCCAGGGGCG
Molecule: non-coding RNA, 69 nt
Organism: Podarcis lilfordi (Lilford's wall lizard)
Lineage: Eukaryota; Metazoa; Chordata; Lepidosauria; Squamata; Lacertidae
Source: the annotation of a GenBank genome assembly